GCAGUAGCCGCGGUAAUACAGAGGGUGCGAGCGUUAAUCGGAUUUACUGGGCGUAAAGCGUGCGUAGGCGGCUAAUUGAGUCGGAUGUGAAAUCCCCGAGCUUAACUUGGGAAUUGCAUUCGAUACUGGUUAGCUAGAGUGUGGGAGAGGAUGGUAGAAUUCCAGGUGUAGCGGUGAAAUGCGUAGAGAUCUGGAGGAAUACCGAUGGCGAAGGCAGCCAUCUGGCCUAAUACUGACGCUGAGGUACGAAAGCAUGGGGAGCAAACAGGAUUAGAUACCCCCGUAGUCCCUGUCUCUUAUAA
This 302-nucleotide ribosomal RNA is filed under the name uncultured bacterium. RNAcentral's name for it is "partial 16S ribosomal RNA". It matches the Rfam family "Bacterial small subunit ribosomal RNA", at positions 508 to 809 of the family's 1533-position model. The record is from RNAcentral.